RNAcentral lists this ribosomal RNA (401 nucleotides) under uncultured bacterium. RNAcentral's name for it is "bacterial SSU rRNA". It matches the Rfam family "Bacterial small subunit ribosomal RNA", at positions 356 to 773 of the family's 1533-position model. The record is from RNAcentral.
AGGGAAUCUUGCGCAAUGGACGGGAGUCCGACGCAGCGACGCCGCGUGGGUGAAGGCGGCCUUCGGGUUGUAAAGCCCUUUUCUGGGGGAAGAGAGAGGACGGUACUCCAGGAAUAAGUGUCGGCUAACUACGUGCCAGCAGCCGCGGUAAUACGUAGGACACGAGCGUUAUCCGGAUUUACUGGGCGUAAAGCGCCUGUAGGCGGUUCUUCAAGUCGUUUGUGAAAGCCCUGGGCUCAACCUGGGGAGGUCAAGCGAUACUGGAGGACUUGAGGGUGACAGAGGGGAGUGGAAUUUCCGGUGUAGCGGUAAAAUGCGCAGAUAUCGGGAGGAACACCAGUGGCGAAGGCGGCUCCCUGGGUCAACCCUGACGCUGAGAGGCGAAAGCUAGGGGAGCAAAC